UACGAAGGGGACUAGCGUUGUUCGGAAUCACUGGGCGUAAAGCGCACGUAGGCGGAUUUGUAAGUCAGGGGUGAAAUCCCGGGGCUCAACCUCGGGACUGCCUUUGAUACUGCGAAUCUCGAGUCCGAUAGAGGUGGGUGGAAUUCCUAGUGUAGAGGUGAAAUUCGUAGAUAUUAGGAAGAACACCGGUGGCGAAGGCGGCCCACUGGAUCGGUACUGACGCUGAGGUGCGAAAGCGUGGGGAGCAAACAGG
RNAcentral lists this ribosomal RNA (253 nucleotides) under uncultured bacterium. Its description in RNAcentral is "partial 16S ribosomal RNA". It matches the Rfam family "Bacterial small subunit ribosomal RNA", at positions 524 to 776 of the family's 1533-position model. The record is from RNAcentral.